This 360-nucleotide unclassified non-coding RNA is filed under the name uncultured Acidimicrobiia bacterium. RNAcentral describes it as "contains 16S-23S intergenic spacer region". The record is from RNAcentral. Lineage: Bacteria; Bacillati; Actinomycetota; Acidimicrobiia.
UCCGGGUUGGACCCGGCGGUCCCGCCAGACAUGGUAACUGGCAGCGAGGGUUGCGCUCGUUGCGGGACUUAACCCAACACCUCACGGCACGAGCUGACGACAGCCAUGCACCACCUAUCACAGGCCCCGAAGGACACCGUAUCUCUACGGCUUUCCCUACAUGUCAAACCCAGGUAAGGUUCUUCGCGUAACAUCGAAUUAAGCAACACGCUCCGCUGCUUGUGCGAGCCCCCGUCAAUUCCUUUGAGUUUUAGCCUUGCGGCCGUACUCCCCAGGCGGGGCACUUAAUGCGUUAGCGACGGCGCGGAUCUCGUUGGUUGAGACCCACACCUAGUGCCCAACGUUUACGGCGUGGACUAC